CUGUUUUUUUUUUUUACAAUAAUGUUUGGUUUAGUGAUCCUAAAAUGGAUUAAAGAUUAAGUUACUUUAGGGAUAACAGCGUAAUUUUCUUCAAGAGUUCUUAUCGACAAGAGAGUUUGCGACCUCGAUGUUGAAUUAAAGGUUCUUUAUAGAGUAGAGACUAUAAUAGAAGGUCUGUUCNNCCUUUAAANCUUUACAUGAUUUGAGUUCANACCGG
This 217-nucleotide ribosomal RNA is filed under the name Cambarus hobbsorum. RNAcentral's name for it is "partial 16S ribosomal RNA". The stretch from base 72 to 217 matches the Rfam family "Bacterial large subunit ribosomal RNA", at positions 2473 to 2619 of the family's 2925-position model. Lineage: Eukaryota; Metazoa; Arthropoda; Malacostraca; Decapoda; Cambaridae. The record is from RNAcentral.